This 74-nucleotide transfer RNA is filed under the name Felis catus (domestic cat). It matches the Rfam family "tRNA". From Rfam's summary of the family: Transfer RNA (tRNA) molecules are approximately 80 nucleotides in length. Their secondary structure includes four short double-helical elements and three loops (D, anti-codon, and T loops). Further hydrogen bonds mediate the characteristic L-shaped molecular structure. tRNAs have two regions of fundamental functional importance: the anti-codon, which is responsible for specific mRNA codon recognition, and the 3' end, to which the tRNAs corresponding amino acid is attached (by aminoacyl-tRNA synthetases). tRNAs cope with the degeneracy of the genetic code in two manners: having more than one tRNA (with a specific anti-codon) for a particular amino acid; and 'wobble' base-pairing, i.e. permitting non-standard base-pairing at the 3rd anti-codon position. RNAcentral also lists the same sequence under 4 other names. Lineage: Eukaryota; Metazoa; Chordata; Mammalia; Carnivora; Felidae. The record is from Rfam by way of RNAcentral.
ACCUGGCUGGCUCAGUCAUAUAGAGCAUAUGACUCUUGAUCUCAUGGUCAUGAGUUCAAACCCCAUGUUGGGCA